GGCAAGGUGACCGAGUGGUUAAGGUGCUGGUUUUAGGAUAAUUCCACCAGUGGGAAACCGCGCGAGUUCGAAUCUCGUCCUUGUCA
RNAcentral lists this transfer RNA (86 nucleotides) under Aspergillus ustus. It matches the Rfam family "tRNA". From Rfam's summary of the family: Transfer RNA (tRNA) molecules are approximately 80 nucleotides in length. Their secondary structure includes four short double-helical elements and three loops (D, anti-codon, and T loops). The record is from Rfam by way of RNAcentral. RNAcentral also lists the same sequence under 1 other name. Lineage: Eukaryota; Fungi; Ascomycota; Eurotiomycetes; Eurotiales; Aspergillaceae.